UGAGACAGAAAGAUCAAGAUAUAGGCAAGCUGCUCCACCAGCGAAAAGAUGACAGCUCGCUUUAUUGUGAUUCUCCUUUUAUUAUGGUGGUCUGGAACUGAACCCGCAGUACCUUCGAGGUACGCCUGUGCUUGGAUGUGGGGGUAAAAGAGAAGGAAAUUAAGGGAAGCCCAGAAACAAGGCGAAGGAGGAAGUCGUGGUGGAGUCUCCACUUAGGUGAAAGAGACUCAAACAGGGUCUGUUGAUGAAAUGUAGGACAUGCAGUCAUCAAGUAUGCACAAGAUGUUACGCAAGCCCAGAGGAAGCCCAGCCCAGGUCUUCACACAAGAAGAGGAGACACCUUUGAGCUGCGUUUUGAAGGCGAGUUCAAGUCUGCCAGCAGCGGAGGAGAUGAAGAGC
This is a long non-coding RNA of Molossus molossus (Pallas's mastiff bat), 399 nucleotides long. RefSeq lists it as uncharacterized. The record is from RefSeq and is a predicted model, not a curated record. NCBI's taxonomy places the organism in Eukaryota, Metazoa, Chordata, Mammalia, Chiroptera, Molossidae. The transcript has 4 exons.